Molecule: transfer RNA, 75 nt
Filed under: Nanobdellota archaeon
Lineage: Archaea; Nanobdellati; Nanobdellota
Also listed under: 1 other name
Description: tRNA-Ile
Rfam family: tRNA
About the family: Transfer RNA (tRNA) molecules are approximately 80 nucleotides in length. Their secondary structure includes four short double-helical elements and three loops (D, anti-codon, and T loops).
Source: RNAcentral
GGGGAUUUAGCUCAGCUUGGUUAGAGCGCAGGUCUUAUAAGCCUGAGGUCUCGGGUUCAAAUCCCGAAUUCCCCA